AUACGGAGGGUGCAAGCGUUGUUCGGAUUUAUUGGGCGUAAAGCGAGUGUAGGCGGCUUAGCAAGUCGGAUGUGAAAUCCCAGGGCCCAACCCUGGAACUGCAUCCGAUACUGUUAGGCUAGAAUUCCGGAGAGGGUGGCGGAAUUCCCGGUGUAGGGGUGAAAUCCGUAGAUAUCUGGAGGAACACCAGUGGCGAAGGCGGCCACCUGGACGGUAAUUGACGCUCAGACUCGAAAGCGUGGGUAGCAAACAGGAUUAGAAACCCCGGUAGUCC
RNAcentral lists this ribosomal RNA (274 nucleotides) under uncultured bacterium. RNAcentral's name for it is "partial 16S ribosomal RNA". It matches the Rfam family "Bacterial small subunit ribosomal RNA", at positions 523 to 796 of the family's 1533-position model. The record is from RNAcentral.